UACGGAGGGUGCAAGCGUUAUCCGGAUUCGCUGGGUUUAAAGGGUGCGUAGGUGGGCAGGUAAGUCAGUGGUGAAAUCUCCGGGCUUAACCCGGAAACUGCCAUUGAUACUAUUUGUCUUGAAUAUCGUGGAGGUGAGCGGAAUAUGUCAUGUGGCGGUGAAAUGCUUAGAUAUGACAUAGAACACCCAUUGCGAAGGCAGCUCACUACACGAUCAUUGACACUGAGGCACGAAAGCGUGGGGAGCAAACAGG
This 253-nucleotide ribosomal RNA is filed under the name uncultured bacterium. RNAcentral describes it as "partial 16S ribosomal RNA". It matches the Rfam family "Bacterial small subunit ribosomal RNA", at positions 524 to 776 of the family's 1533-position model. The record is from RNAcentral.